Molecule: ribosomal RNA, 757 nt
Filed under: Bacillus sp. (in: firmicutes)
Lineage: Bacteria; Bacillati; Bacillota; Bacilli; Caryophanales; Bacillaceae
Description: bacterial SSU rRNA
Rfam family: Bacterial small subunit ribosomal RNA
Source: RNAcentral
AAGGGCCGGGCGCUGCUAAUACAUGCAGUCGAGCGAAUGGAUUAAGAGCUUGCUCUUAUGAAGUUAGCGGCGGACGGGUGAGUAACACGUGGGUAACCUGCCCAUAAGACUGGGAUAACUCCGGGAAACCGGGGCUAAUACCGGAUAACAUUUUGAACCGCAUGGUUCGAAAUUGAAAGGCGGCUUCGGCUGUCACUUAUGGAUGGACCCGCGUCGCAUUAGCUAGUUGGUGAGGUAACGGCUCACCAAGGCAACGAUGCGUAGCCGACCUGAGAGGGUGAUCGGCCACACUGGGACUGAGACACGGCCCAGACUCCUACGGGAGGCAGCAGUAGGGAAUCUUCCGCAAUGGACGAAAGUCUGACGGAGCAACGCCGCGUGAGUGAUGAAGGCUUUCGGGUCGUAAAACUCUGUUGUUAGGGAAGAACAAGUGCUAGUUGAAUAAGCUGGCACCUUGACGGUACCUAACCAGAAAGCCACGGCUAACUACGUGCCAGCAGCCGCGGUAAUACGUAGGUGGCAAGCGUUAUCCGGAAUUAUUGGGCGUAAAGCGCGCGCAGGUGGUUUCUUAAGUCUGAUGUGAAAGCCCACGGCUCAACCGUGGAGGGUCAUUGGAAACUGGGAGACUUGAGUGCAGAAGAGGAAAGUGGAAUUCCAUGUGUAGCGGUGAAAUGCGUAGAGAUAUGGAGGAACACCAGUGGCGAAGGCGACUUUCUGGUCUGUGACUGACACUGAGGCGCGAAAGCGUGGAGAGCAA